ACAGCAUGGGGAAGGCUGGAGUGGGACACGCAUUGAGAAAUGAAAUCCGUCACUUCCCAGAUUUCGAACGCAUCCUUAGAGUGCAUUACUUUUAUGUGCUUGCGUUCGGUCUUGGGAUUUCUCAGCAGAUGUCGCCAACAGCAGAGAGAUUGAUCUAGAAUGUCUCGUUAUCGGAAAAGUAUGGUAGCUAUACGCCAAAUGGUUUUUGCGUAUAGUUACCAUAUUACUUCCGAUAUGACUGUUGACAUUACUGCGGAUAUGACCGAGCAGUGCAUUGGCAAUAUGCCAAGGGCAAAUAAGGGAGAAGUGUAGGGGGCGGCGGGUGAGGUGCAGAAGAAGAAUAAGAAGAAGUUGUACCUAUCCAGUAAUUUUAUCUUGAUUUGUGGAUUAGACGAAGACUAGAUUUUGAUAAAGAAAUCGACAAACUUGAACUGCAGCACUCCAGCAGCCUUACCCCGCGUUCGAUGUCUCUCGGAUGACGAAGAUUCUACGUCGUCCAGCCAAUCCCGUCCAAGGACUCGUGGCGCUGCUCGCCUCCUCGCCAAUGCGAACGCGUUCUCUGAGGACAACCCGCCCAAGGCUAGUAUGGCGAAGCCACGCCACCGCGCCGGCUAUAGACUCACGGCCUGAAGCGAGUUUGGGCGCGACGGCUGGCGAGCCAAGGCGGCGGAAAGUCGUCUGGCGGAGCUCCCGUCUGAGGCGAGCUUGAUCUGGUCAGACAGCUCCGCCACCGAUGGUGUGCUAGAUGGAGGAGGAGGGGCCACCCCCCCCCCCCCUGAACCGCGACAUCCGGGAGGUGCGUGUCGCGGCAGGCGCCCUCUGCUCUAGCACGCGCGGCGAGCUAUUCGCCCUAAGAGCGGUGUUGGAGGAGCUGUUGACCAAGACUGGUCGCGACACCUCUCUUCCGAUAAUUAUCGUCUGUACCCACUCGAUGGCGGCGCUGGCCCUCCUGCGGAGCGGCGCGGCGGCCCAGAGAGCCCCUCUGGCCGCAGACAUAUGGGGGCUGCUGGCAGCGCUCACCGAGGGGGCCAUCCAGUGAUAAUGCAGUGGGUUCCUGCACACUGCGGGCUUCCGGGCAACGAGCGGAUGGACGCCCUCGCGCGCGAGGCUGGCGCCCUAUCCCAACGGUAGCGCCGUCCGCCGAUCGACUUGGGCAGCACUAUCUGCAAGGCAGGCGCGCGCGACGCUGCGCGCGCCUGGCGGCGGAGCUGGCAGGACGGAUGACCCUGGCUGCCGCCGUGAGAACCAUCCAGAACCGUACGGCUAUGCUGCGGCAGCGGCUGAAAGGAACGCAACAACAAUAACUACAACAGCAGCUGCUAAUGAAAGGGGAAAUCAUGGAGCCGGAUGACCCGGCACAUGGCGCUCAGCCAGCUGAGAAUGAGAGCAGCUAUCAAAUCGCCAGCAGGGUGCUGCGGCUGGUAACUGACGACCUUGGAAGAGAGAGCGCCUCCGCUGAUGCGGAUGAAACUACCCCCUCUCGGGUUUGUUUGACGCCGUCUCCGUCGACUCUUUCGCCUGGGCCGGCUGGCGACCGCGCUACAUUUCUUGUGCAGUGACUCGUAACUGUGUUCACCAAACUUUUAAAACUCCCCACGUUAGCAUCUUUAAAGAAUGUUUUCCUCGUACACUGCUGCAAUGUCUUAUGUAGGCAUGUUGUACAGUCUAAACGAGUGUGGAAUGCUUUGUUGUGCUUGUUUUGUAUUUCGUUUGCUAUUUAUCACGGUGACUAUAAUUUAUUUUGACCAACCCUUGCCUUGUUACAAUUUUAGUGGAUGGUUUCUGAACUGCUGUUUGCAUUAUAGAUGUUGCUAGUGCGUAGACGCCAAAGAUUACUUUAUACCUAUUGACGCGCCAGAUAAAGGAGGUGAAGUAUUCCUCUGAUCUAUACCUACGGAAUUCCUUUAUGUGUGUUUUGUAAUCGAUAUUGGCGGUUUUCUUAUGUGAUGCGGUGUAGAGCGUGGCUGAGGAAGGCGAUGUUUAAAGUUGCUAGUUAUUUUUCAAUACAUCUUUGAUCGGAC
This 2021-nucleotide long non-coding RNA is filed under the name Amphibalanus amphitrite. RNAcentral describes it as "uncharacterized LOC122393107, transcript variant X1". Lineage: Eukaryota; Metazoa; Arthropoda; Thecostraca; Balanomorpha; Balanidae. The record is from RNAcentral.